This 279-nucleotide ribosomal RNA is filed under the name uncultured bacterium. RNAcentral's name for it is "partial 16S ribosomal RNA". It matches the Rfam family "Bacterial small subunit ribosomal RNA", at positions 506 to 784 of the family's 1533-position model. The record is from RNAcentral.
UGCCAGCAGCCGCGGUAAGACGGAGGAUGCAAGUGUUAUCCGGAAUCACUGGGCGUAAAGCGCAUGUAGGCGGAACAGAAAGUUAGAAGUGAAAUCCCUGGGCUCAACCUAGGAAUUGCUUUUAAAACUUCUGUUCUGGAAUUCAGGAGAGGAAAAUGGAAUUUCCAGUGUAGAGGUGAAAUUCGUAGAUAUUGGAAGGAACACCAGUGGCGAAGGCGAUUUUCUGGACUGAUAUUGACGCUGAGAUGCGAAGGCAUGGGUAGCAAACGGGAUUAGAUA